This 406-nucleotide ribosomal RNA is filed under the name uncultured bacterium. RNAcentral describes it as "partial 16S ribosomal RNA". It matches the Rfam family "Bacterial small subunit ribosomal RNA", at positions 30 to 526 of the family's 1533-position model. The record is from RNAcentral.
AUUGAACGCUGGCGGCAGGCCUAACACAUGCAAGUCGAACGAGUGGCAGACGGGUGAGUAAUAUCUGGGAAACUGCCUUAUAGAGGGGGAUAACUACUGGAAACGGUAGCUAAUACCGCAUACCAUGAGAUAUGCCCAGAUGGGAUUAGCUUGUUGGUGGGGUAACGGAUUACGAAGGCGACGAGCCCUAGCGGGUCUGAGAGGAUGACCAGCCACACUGGAACUGAGACACGGCCCAGACUCCUACGGGAGGCAGCAGUGGGGAAUAUUGGACAAUGGGCGCAAGCCUGAUGCAGCCAUGCCGCGUGUAUGAAGAAGGCCUUCGGGUUGUAAAGUACUUUCAGCGGGGAGGCGUUACCCGCAGAAGAAGCACCGGCUAACUCCGUGCCAGCAGCCGCGGUAAUAC